UACGGAGGGAGCUAGCGUUAUUCGGAAUUACUGGGCGUAAAGGGCUCGUAGGCGGCCAACUAAGUCAGACGUGAAAUCCCUCGGCUUAACCGGGGAACUGCAUCUGAUACUGGAUGGCUUGAGUUUGGGAGAGGGAUGCGGAAUUCCAGGUGUAGCGGUGAAAUGCGUAGAUAUCUGGAGGAACACCGGUGGCGAAGGCGGCAUCCUGGACCAACACUGACGCUGAGGAGCGAAAGCCAGGGGAGCAAACGGG
RNAcentral lists this ribosomal RNA (253 nucleotides) under uncultured bacterium. RNAcentral's name for it is "partial 16S ribosomal RNA". It matches the Rfam family "Bacterial small subunit ribosomal RNA", at positions 524 to 776 of the family's 1533-position model. The record is from RNAcentral.